Mirounga angustirostris (Northern elephant seal) is the source of this 2492-nucleotide long non-coding RNA. RefSeq lists it as uncharacterized. The record is from RefSeq and is a predicted model, not a curated record. NCBI's taxonomy places the organism in Eukaryota, Metazoa, Chordata, Mammalia, Carnivora, Phocidae. The transcript is spliced from 3 exons.
GGACCGCCUUCGCCUGAGCGCUGUGCUUUGAGUUUGGAGCAGGUGACCAGGCCUGGGUCUCCCUCGGUCGGGUGGCGAGACUCACGGAGCACACGGAUGAAGAAAAUGAGACGCAGAGAAGAGAAGGAUUUCUUCAAGGUCACACAGUGAAUAUGUCACAGCCAGAACUAGAACUCAGGCCUCUUCACAAAUGGCUUGGUGGCCUACCCGUUACACAUGGACCCCGAAGUCCCUUAGGGGUUUCCUGUGCCCUGCUGGUGCCUGGCCACGAUGAUGAGUUGGCAGUGGUCUCUGUUCCUGGGGUGUCUCUGGCUCCGGAAGCAGAAAGAAGGGUGAUGGCCUAGGAUGGUGUAAAUUGAGGAGCCUCAAGCAAGUCAUUUCCUUUCUCUGGACUUCAGUUUUCGCUCAUUUAAAAUAAUUGGCUGGCCUGAGUGGUUUCUUGGCCCUCUCUAGCUCUAAAGUUUAUGUGUUCACAUCGAGGGACUGGGACUGACAGGUCGAUGAGACGUCCUUGUGACCCCAUGUAGUGAAUGGGUGGUGAUGCUCGGUGGGAGGCAUAUUAGCUUCCUAUUGCCGCUCUGUCACCACCAACCUAGCGGCUUGAAACAGUAAAUGCUUCCUUUCCUACCGUUCUGGAGGUCAGAAGUCUGACGGGUCUCACUGGGCUACAGUCGAGGUGUCUGCAGGGCUCGGGCUCUCGGGGACAAUCUGUUUCCUUGCCAUUUCUAGAGGCUGCCUGCGUUCCUUGGGCUCAUGGCCCCGUUCCUUUUUCAAAGCCAGCAACAGCAGGUUGAGUCCCUCCUGACUGGCCGCCUCUAUUUUUUCUUCUGCCUCCCUCUUGCGCUGUGUGAUUACAGUGGACCUACACCGAUAAUCCAGGCUAAUCUCCCCAUGUUAAUGCCAUCUAAUUAGCAACCUUAAUUCUACCCGGAACCUUAAUUCCCCCUGGCCAUCUAAGGUAACCUAUUCUCAGGGACUGGGAAUUAGGAUGGGGACAUCUUUUGGGGCCAUUAUUCUGCCUCCUCCCAGAGGACUGGGGAACCCCUUAGCAAAGGAGUCCCAAGACCUUAGCAUAUCCAGGGGCACCUGGGUGGCUCAGUCGGUUAAGUGGCUGCCUUCGGCUCGGGUCAUGAUCCCAGGGUCCUGGGAUUGAGCCCUGCAUCGGGGUCCCUGCUCCGCAGGAAGCCUGCUUCUCCCUCUCCCAUUCCCCCUGCUUGUGUUCCCUCUCUCGCUGUGUCUUUCUCUGUCAAAUAAAUAAAUAAAAUCUUAAAAAAAAAAAAAGACCUUAGCAUAUCCAGAGGUCAACUGGGCUGGUAAAUUUAGGUUUCCUUUGCCAGUCAGGACCUGACACAGUGCAGGGGCAUCUGUGGGGCGAGGGGGCCCUAUGCAGUAUGUGUGAGUGUGGGUGUGCGCCCAUCAGGCAGAUGGAAAGAUCUGAGUUGCAGGAAGGAAUGGCGAGCAAAGGAAGUAGUAUCCGUGUCACAUGCUCUAAGCAAACUAGUGAUGAUGACGAUGUCACUUAAUUUGUGGUUAAAUCAAGCAAAACAAACAGCCAAGUACCACAAAAAGCAAAACACAAAAAAACCCAGCUAGAGUAAAUGCUCUACAAUCCUUGUCUUGCUCAGGAGGAGGGUGAAGAUACUGAUAACUGUAAUAUUCUUUAACUUACGGAAAUUUUCAAGCAUUACAAAAGUAAAGGUCAUGGUAUAAAGAACUCUAACCCGAUUUACCCUUAAUAUAUGAUGAAUCAUAUCUCCACACCAAUUUUUCACUCCACCUCCCACACUGUGGAUCAUUUUGAAGAAAAUUCUGAACAUCAGUGUUCAUUAAGGUUAGAUUUUGCUAGGUUAGGUAUAUAUAAAUAAAUAUAUUUAUAUUCUUAUAUAUAAUAUAUAAUAUAUGUAUAUUUAAUAUUAUAUUUAUUAUAUAUUAUAUUUUUAUUUUUAUAUAAGUAUAUUUUAUAUAUAUAAAAUGUAUAGGGUAAAAAGAGGAUAUAAUAGUGGAUAUAAAGAAAUGGAACGGGGAAAAAUAAUCAUUACAGAAGAAAGCGUGACAGGGGCGCCUGGGUGGCUCAGCCAUUAAGCGUCUGCCUUCGGCUCAGGUCAUGAUCUCAGGGUCCUGGGAUCGAGCCCCGCAUCGGGCUCCCUGCUCUGCGGGGAAACGCGCUUCUCCCUCUCCCACUCCCCCUGCUUGUGUUCCCUCUCUUCUGUGUCUCUCUCUGUCAAAUAAAUAAAAUUAGAAAAAAAAAAACGUGACAGAAAGAAAAUCGUCAUGGAAAUGGUAGAACAAAUUGGAAGUAUACAAUAAGAUGGUUGAAAUAAAUCCAAAUAUAAAUUCCUUAUAAUAAAUGUAAAUGGACGAAAUGGUUCUGUUAAAAUACAAAAUUUCAGACUGGAUUUAAAACCCAGCUAUAUGGGGGCGCCUGAGUGGCUGGUUCGGUGAAGCGUCUGACUCCUGAUCUCAGCUCAGGUCUUGAUCUCAGGGUUGUGAGU